UUAAAAUUUAAAUAAUUUAAAUUAGAUGAUUAAUAGUUAUGGUCUUAAAAUUCAAGAGAUUUGGCGGUAUUCUAUCAAAUUAGGGGAAUUUGCUUAUGAAUUGAUAAUCCGCAAGAAAUCUUACUUUAUUUAAUUAAUUUAUAUGUCGCCGUUUAUUAGAGAGUCUUAUUAGGGGGAUAACUUUCUUAAACUUUUAUAGGAUAAUAAUUCAGGUAAGAUGUAGUUUAUAAUAAAGGUUAAGUGAAUUACAAUAAAGUUAUUUAUUAUGAAUAUUAUAUUGAAAUAUAUAAUUGAAGGUGGACUUAAAAGUAAAAUAAAAAAUUAUAUUUAUUUGAAUUUAGAUCUAGAAUAUGU
Molecule: ribosomal RNA, 354 nt
Filed under: Runaria reducta
Lineage: Eukaryota; Metazoa; Arthropoda; Insecta; Hymenoptera; Blasticotomidae
Description: partial 12S ribosomal RNA
Source: RNAcentral